UUCCUGCUGUACUUUGGCCUUAAGGCAAACC
Molecule: non-coding RNA, 31 nt
Filed under: Homo sapiens (human)
Lineage: Eukaryota; Metazoa; Chordata; Mammalia; Primates; Hominidae
Source: RNAcentral